RNAcentral lists this transfer RNA (74 nucleotides) under Pteropus alecto (black flying fox). It matches the Rfam family "tRNA". Rfam says of the family: Transfer RNA (tRNA) molecules are approximately 80 nucleotides in length. Their secondary structure includes four short double-helical elements and three loops (D, anti-codon, and T loops). The record is from Rfam by way of RNAcentral. Lineage: Eukaryota; Metazoa; Chordata; Mammalia; Chiroptera; Pteropodidae.
GCCUCCACAGUGUAGUGGUUAGCAUAUCUGCCUUACACGCAGAAGGUCCUGGGUUCGCACCCCAGGUGGAGCCA